AGUGAACGCUGGCGGUAGGCCUAACACAUGCAAGUCGAACGGCAGCACAGUAAGAGCUUGCUCUUACGGGUGGCGAGUGGCGGACGGGUGAGGAAUACAUCGGAAUCUACUUUUUCGUGGGGGAUAACGUAGGGAAACUUACGCUAAUACCGCAUACGACCUACGGGUGAAAGCAGGGGAUCUUCGGACCUUGCGCGAUUGAAUGAGCCGAUGUCGGAUUAGCUAGUUGGCGGGGUAAAGGCCCACCAAGGCGACGAUCCGUAGCUGGUCUGAGAGGAUGAUCCGGCACACUGGAACUGAGACACGGUCCAGACUCCUACGGGAGGCAGCCGUUGGGAAUAUUGGGCAAUGGGCGGAAGCCUUAACCCGGCAAACCGCGGGGGUUAAGAAGGGCUUUGGGGUGUAAAGCCCUUUUGUUGGGAAAGAAAAGCAGCAGGUUAAUACCCCGCUGUUCUGACGGUACCCAAAGAAUAAGCACCGGCUAACUUCGUG
Molecule: ribosomal RNA, 492 nt
Filed under: uncultured bacterium
Lineage: Bacteria
Description: partial 16S ribosomal RNA
Rfam family: Bacterial small subunit ribosomal RNA
Source: RNAcentral